This 567-nucleotide ribosomal RNA is filed under the name uncultured Actinobacillus sp. RNAcentral describes it as "bacterial SSU rRNA". It matches the Rfam family "Bacterial small subunit ribosomal RNA", at positions 99 to 662 of the family's 1533-position model. The record is from RNAcentral. Lineage: Bacteria; Pseudomonadati; Pseudomonadota; Gammaproteobacteria; Pasteurellales; Pasteurellaceae.
CGGACGGGUGAGUAAUGCUUGGGAAUCUGGCUUAUGGAGGGGGAUAACUACGGGAAACUGUAGCUAAUACCGCGUAAUAUCUUCGGAUUAAAGGGUGGGACUUUCGGGCCACCUGCCAUAAGAUGAGCCCAAGUGGGAUUAGGUAGUUGGUGGGGUAAAGGCCUACCAAGCCGACGAUCUCUAGCUGGUCUGAGAGGAUGACCAGCCACACUGGAACUGAGACACGGUCCAGACUCCUACGGGAGGCAGCAGUGGGGAAUAUUGCACAAUGGGGGGAACCCUGAUGCAGCCAUGCCGCGUGAAUGAAGAAGGCCUUCGGGUUGUAAAGUUCUUUCGGUGAUGAGGAAGGUGUUUGUUUUAAUAGAACAAGCAAUUGACGUUAGUCACAGAAGAAGCACCGGCUAACUCCGUGCCAGCAGCCGCGGUAAUACGGAGGGUGCGAGCGUUAAUCGGAAUGACUGGGCGUAAAGGGCACGCAGGCGGUGACUUAAGUGAGAUGUGAAAGCCCCGAGCUUAACUUGGGAAUUGCAUUUCAUACUGGGUCGCUAGAGUAUUUUAGGGAGGGGU